Tupaia belangeri chinensis (Chinese tree shrew) is the source of this 1297-nucleotide non-coding RNA. The record is from the annotation of a RefSeq genome assembly. Lineage: Eukaryota; Metazoa; Chordata; Mammalia; Scandentia; Tupaiidae.
AUGUUCCCUGAAGGUUUACUAAUACUCCUAUGGAGUCAGCUUAAAUGGGUGAGCGGACAACAGCUGAAUCAGAAUCCUCCAUCUAUGUCCAUCCAAGAAGGAGAGGAUGUCACCAUGAACUGCAGUUUCACAAGUAUAUUUUUCACUUUGCUAUGGUACAAACAGAAUCCGGGGCCAGGUCCUGUCCUCUGGAUGAUCUUAAAUAAAGGAGGUGAAUUGACCAGAAAUGGAAAAUUGACUGCUAAGCUUGGUGAAGCAAGAAAAGACAGCUUCAUGCAUAUCUCAGCCUAUGCCCCUGAAGAUGUAGGCAUCUACUUCUGUGCUGGUAGCACUAGAAACAGUUACCCCAAGGUGACAUUUGGGCCAGGAACAAGUUUAUCAGUCAUCCCACAUAUUAAGAAUCCUGACCCUUCUGUGUACCAGCUGAGAAAACAUAAAGUCAACAAUGCAAGUGUCUGCUUAUUCACUGAUUUUGAUUCUCAAGUCAACGUAUCACAAAGCACAGACAAUGAAGCAUUUAAGUCAGGCACAACUGUACUGGACAUGAGAUCCACACAUUCCAAGAGCAAUGGCGCCCUGGCCUGGAGCACAGAUGCCAAUUUUGAAUGUAAAGAUGCCUUCGAUGAGCAAGACUUUUUCCCUAACUCAGGAAUUCCCUGUGAUGCCAAGUCGGAAGAGAAAAGCUUUGAAACAGACAUGAACCUAAACCUGCAAAACCUGUCGGUGAUUGGGCUCCGCAUUCUCUUCCUGAAAGUGGCCGGGUUUAACCUCCUCAUGACGCUGCGGCUGUGGUCCAGUUGAGGUCAACAAGACUAUGAGAGAGCCUGUGGCCCUCACUUCUUCCUUCUUGUCACUGUGCCUCUCCAUCCUCAAGCAGAGGGGUGCUCCCCACCUCCAUGAAAAAGAUGGCUCCCACCUCAACUGGCAAGGCCACCACUGGAUCCUACCUGGAUUUGUGAUCAAGAUGCUGGUGAGCUGCCAGACCAGCUGCCACUCACUCUGUUCCCUGUUGCUGCUUGUCACUACCUGAUAUUCAUGGCAAACUCCCCAGCCCUCCCCAAAGACUGCCUCUGCCAUCCUACGGACUGAUGGGACCCAAGCUCCUGGAGAAUGUUGCGAGUUUAUAUUUUUUAAAUAGUGUUCAUAAAGAAAUAUAUAUUACUCUUUUGCCCAAGACGAGGGGGGAAGUAUCUUAUCAUCUUGGGCCUGCUAUGCUGUGUAUCCGAGCCACCUUGUGUAUUCUGCUGCCCGUGCUUCAUUAAAAGUGAUGUGGAAGAACGGAGGCUGUGCUCCUGUU